CACGUAGGGCGCGAGCGUUAUCCGGAAUUAUUGGGCGUAAAGAGCUCGUAGGCGGCCUGUUGCGUCCGCUGUGAAAGCCCGGGGCUUAACCCCGGGUCGGCAGUGGAUACGGGCAGGCUAGAGGUAGGUAGGGGAGAAUGGAAUUCCCGGUGUAGCGGUGAAAUGCGCAGAUAUCGGGAGGAACACCGGUGGCGAAGGCGGUUCUCUGGGCAGUAACUGACGCUGAGGAGCGAAAGCGUGGGGAGCGAACAGG
RNAcentral lists this ribosomal RNA (253 nucleotides) under uncultured bacterium. RNAcentral's name for it is "partial 16S ribosomal RNA". It matches the Rfam family "Bacterial small subunit ribosomal RNA", at positions 524 to 776 of the family's 1533-position model. The record is from RNAcentral.